ACGAACGCUGGCGGCGUGCCUAAUACAUGCAAGUUGAGCGCUGAAGGUUGGUACUUGUACCAACUGGAUGAGCAGCGAACGGGUGAGUAACGCGUGGGGAAUCUGCCUUUGAGCGGGGGACAACAUUUGGAAACGAAUGCUAAUACCGCAUAAAAACUUUAAACACAAGUUUUAAGUUUGAAAGAUGCAAUUGCAUCACUCAAAGAUGAUCCCGCGUUGUAUUAGCUAGUUGGUGAGGUAAAGACUCACCAAGGCGAUGAUACAUAGCCGACCUGAGAGGGUGAUCGGCCACAUUGGGACUGAGACACGGCCCAAACUCCUACGGGAGGCAGCAGUAGGGAAUCUUCGGCAAUGGACGAAAGUCUGACCGAGCAACGCCGCGUGAGUGAAGAAGGUUUUCGGAUCGUAAAACUCUGUUGGUAGAGAAGAACGUUGGUGAGAGUGGAAAGCUCAUCAAGUGACGGUAACUACCCAGAAAGGGACGGCUAACUACGUG
This 496-nucleotide ribosomal RNA is filed under the name uncultured bacterium. Its description in RNAcentral is "partial 16S ribosomal RNA". It matches the Rfam family "Bacterial small subunit ribosomal RNA", at positions 29 to 507 of the family's 1533-position model. The record is from RNAcentral.